AUUAGAUACCCUGGUAGUCCACGCCGUAAACGAUGAUUACUAGGUGUAGGUGGGUAUGGACCCAUCGGUGCCGCAGCCAACGCAGUAAGUAAUCCACCUGGGGAGUACGUUCGCAAGAAUGAAACUCAAAGGAAUUGACGGGGACCCGCACAAGCGGUGGAGCAUGUGGUUUAAUCCGAAGCAACGCGAAGAACCUUACCAAGUCUUGACAUCUGGAUGACGAAUCCGUAACGGGAUUUUCUCUUCGGAGCAUCCAAGACAGGUGGUGCAUGGUUGUCGUCAGCUCGUGUCGUGAGAUGUUGGGUUAAGUCCCGCAACGAGCGCAACCCUUAUCUUUAGUAGCCAGCAAGUAAAGUUGGGCACUCUAGAGAGACUGCCGGGGAUAACCCGGAGGAAGGUGGGGAUGACGUCAAAUCAUCAUGCCCCUUAUGAUUUGGGCUACGCACGUGCUACAAUGGCGUAAACAGAGGGAAGCGAGCCUGCGAGGGGGAGCGAAUCCCAAAAAUAACGUCCCAGUUCGGAUUGUAGUCUGCAACCCGACUACAUGAAGCUGGAAUCGCUAGUAAUCGCGGAUCAGAAUGCCGCGGUGAAUACGUUCCCGGGUCUUGUACACACCGCCCGUCACACCAUGGGAGUCGGAAAUGCCCGAAGUCUGUGACCCAACCUUAGGGAGGGAGCAGCCGAAGGCAGGUCGGAUGACUGGGGUGAAGUCGUAACAAGGUACC
RNAcentral lists this ribosomal RNA (725 nucleotides) under uncultured bacterium. Its description in RNAcentral is "bacterial SSU rRNA". It matches the Rfam family "Bacterial small subunit ribosomal RNA", at positions 777 to 1500 of the family's 1533-position model. The record is from RNAcentral.